GAUGAACGCUGGCGGCGUGCUUAACACAUGCAAGUCGAACGGAAAGGCUCCUGCUUGCAGGGGUACUCGAGUGGCGAACGGGUGAGUAACACGUGGGUGAUCUGCCCUGCACUUCGGGAUAAGCCUGGGAAACUGGGUCUAAUACCGGAUAGGACGAUGGUUUGGAUGCCAUUGUGGAAAGUUUUUUCGGUGUGGGAUGAGCUCGCGGCCUAUCAGCUUGUUGGUGGGGUAAUGGCCUACCAAGGCGUCGACGGGUAGCCGGCCUGAGAGGGUGGACGGCCACAUUGGGACUGAGAUACGGCCCAGACUCCUACGGGAGGCAGCAGUGGGGAAUAUUGCACAAUGGGCGCAAGCCUGAUGCAGCGACGCCGCGUGGGGGAUGACGGCCUUCGGGUUGUAAACUCCUUUCGCUAGAGACGAAGCGCAAGUGACGGUACCUGGAGAAGAAGCACCGGCUAACUACGUG
RNAcentral lists this ribosomal RNA (466 nucleotides) under uncultured bacterium. Its description in RNAcentral is "partial 16S ribosomal RNA". It matches the Rfam family "Bacterial small subunit ribosomal RNA", at positions 28 to 507 of the family's 1533-position model. The record is from RNAcentral.